AUGGGAAAAGCAUCCGGAACUGAGGAGAGGACAAGGCUCAGGAACCAUGGUCCCUCAGUGACGGUGCCGCUCACCGCUGUGGAACACCCUCCCGGGAGCCUUCGUCAGCCUGCUCCCCGCAGGCCCCACUCCCCACCGACUGAUGGACAAGCCGGGCCCGUCCUGGUCGACACCUGGUGCCCGCCCGAGCUUCCCUCCAUCCCGGCACACGGGCCGCCCUCCGUCCCUCCAUCCCUCCAUCCCUCCGUCCCUCCGUCCUGGCACACAUGCCACCCUCUGUCCCUCCAUCCCUCCAUCCCUCCGUCCCAGCACAUGGGCCACCCUCCUUCCCUCUGUCCCUCCGUCCCUCUGUCCCUCUAUCCCGACACGCAGGCCACCCUCCGUCCCUCUGUCCCUCUGUCCCUCCGUCCCGGCACACAGGCCUCGCUCCAUCCAUCUAUCCCUCCGUCCCAGAACACGGACCUCGCUCCAUCCCUCCAUCCCUCUGUCCCAGCACACGGGCUGCCCUCCGUCCCUCCAUCCCUCCAUCCCUCUGUCCCUCCGUCCUGGCACACGGGCCGCCCUCCGUCCCUCCAUCCCUCCAUCCCUCCGUCCCUCCGUCCCGGCACACAUGCCACCCUCUGUCCCUCCAUCCCUCCAUCCCUCCAUCCCUCCAUCCCAGCACAUGGGCUGCCCUCCUUUCCUCUGUCCCUCCGUCCCUCUGUCCCGGCACACGGGCCUCGCUCUGUCCCUCUGCCCCGGCACACGGGCCGCCCUCCAUCCCUCGGUCCCAGCACAGAGUUAGUGAGUCUUAUCUUCUUGUGGCAGAAAUCACGGUCUCUGCUUCAGGACGGCAUGGAUGCCGGGUUGUGAGUCAUUGUCCCCUAAGGGUGGUGGUGGCCUUACAGUGUCUCCUUUCUAGGAAUCUUUCUCCUUCUUUUUCUGAUGAGUAAGUGGGACCACGUGUUAAAGACAUUCGCACCUUACCUUACCUUAGUGUGCAUUCCCCACCAACGAGGGUCGUCGCACUGCAGCCCACUGUCCCCAGAGCCGGGACGGUGCCCGGGACACAGGAGCCACUGGUCGGGGUUGAUGUGAAUUUUUAAAGUCAAGAGGCUAAGUGGGCUAUUUGCUAUUCCUGACCAAAAUUUUAAUAUACGAAGCCACCCCACUAAGUAAUUGUGUGUGUGCAUGUGUAGGGUGAUAAACGUUUAAUUCUGUUUUCACUUACCGAGUUUUGGAGUGGUUUGUGCCGCAGCAGUAUAUAUUGUGUACAUUGAAUAGGAUGUGUGUUAGGGUUUUGCCCUAAGAUCGUUAACUUAAUCCACAUGAGAGUAAAGAAGCCGAAUACUCAAAGCUCCUUGGAGGGAGGUGUUAGUAAGCGGAGGUGAAGAAAAUCUUCGGAAAAGGCAAACAUCAACCAGGAGACUGUCACCGGGUCAUUGUGGCAGGGAGUGGCUGGCUGGCCCCCAAACCCGUCUCCUGUGGACUUGCCGGGCGCCCCUGCCGCUGGUGGGGGGGACACGGAGCGCCAAGCCAGCCACUGGCCGAGCUCAUGAAAACCCUUUGGAUUCCGUCUGCUGGCGGGUGGGAGGGACCAUGCAGGGCGACCCCGGGAGCCAUGCGUGGAAGAUGACAGAUCCCGGUGAGCCUCGGGGCAGAUGGUCCCCACAGCACACGGGGGCCUGCCAUCCACAGGGCGGCCUCACAGGUCAUCCCGGGCAGCUUCCUGGGCAUGAGGCUGCACACUGGGUUCCGGCCAUGUCAGGAAGGAAGGGACAUGCAUCGCUGUGCCCCAUACAUUGGUGCAUGUUAACCAUUUGGCCCCAGGGGAGUGAAAUCCGCUUCCUCAGAAGGUCCAUGAGCCUCCGAGGCCCCUUCCUGGACCAGCUAAUUUUGCAGAAGAUAUCUUGCUGUAUGGGAUCGUUGGCAAGCUGGAGAGCUGUGGAAUACCUAGUUUCCUUCCUGUUCCUACAAACUGUGGAGGAAAUUGUUGUUGCAUUUCGUCGAACACCCGGGACACCGAGUGCGUUCCCCGGAGCGUAUCCUGGUGCUCACCCGGGGUGAUGGUCUGGUGUUUGUUUCAGGAUCAUACGUGUUUUGCUUUGACUGUUUGAUUGUCUUUAAAGUGGCUUCUGUGUGUGUGUGUGUGUGUGUGUGUGUGUGGCAUAGGUGGGUAUGUGUGUGCAUGUGUAUGACAUAUACAGGUCCCCUAAGGAGUGAAAUGUUUUUAUAAAAGGCAAUUAAGUCCUUUGAAAAUAACAGCAGAAAAACCAACCCUCAUGGCGCAGCGCCUUUAUGCUGGCACAGGCAUUGAUCUGAUGGCAGGUGACUCUGCAGAAGAGCUGUCCUGGCACAUCUGGGUGGCGAUCCCUUUAUUCCAAGGACAAGAAGAGAGAUAUGCCAUUUUGCUUAAAGCAAAAAUCCAUCAUUUACACACCUUCUCUACAUCCCCACCUGGGAAUUUAAAAUCACGUUAGGAGCUUUAAUUAAGGAAGCAUCACAAUAUGCCUGUGGGUGAGAUGAGAAAUAUUAUCCCAAUUUGGCUGGUAGGCAGAGCGAUACAGAGGAGUGUGAGCGAGCUUUUGAAGGUCACCCAGUGAGUUAAUGAAAUCCUUGGAAAUAUGUCUGUCAGUGGCCUUUAUUUUUUGCUGUUGGUACAAGGGUUUUAAACCUUUCCAAUGAGUACUGGUUUUCCAACGGAUGAUUCUGGGGCGUGGGGCCAUGGUGGACACAAACUGGCCAUGGAGCCGUGGCUUCCAUCCUGGGUUGCCGGGGAGCUGUCAAUUCAAUGAGCCUGAGAGUAAAUGUCCACUAAAUCCACCACCCUUCGUGAAUGCAGAUCAUCCUUGAAGUCUCGGGCUACCUUGAGUUCCCCCCAGAACCUCAGCGAUAGCCACAAGUAAAUGCCAAUGUGUGCUCUGAAGAGACUUUUCAGGGCGCCUCCAGCCUCCCACAGAGUUCUGGUUGCACAUGUAACUUCCAGGAACAUUUUGGUGGUGACAGUCAAGGUCAGAGGAAGGUGUCACCACCUGACAUUUCCCAGCCUCCAUCUAUAUGCGCGUGUUCUGGAAGGAAAGCAUCUGAACCUGGGCUAAGCUUUGUCGUGGCCCGUCUUGCCAACCAUGUGUUUUAUUAAAUUCUUUCUGAGACUCUACAUGAAUAAACAUAUGCCCGGAGCUGCA
This 3164-nucleotide long non-coding RNA is filed under the name Vulpes vulpes (red fox). RNAcentral's name for it is "lncRNA (ENSVVUG00000023943.1)". The record is from RNAcentral. Lineage: Eukaryota; Metazoa; Chordata; Mammalia; Carnivora; Canidae.